CCUACGGGUGGCAGCAGUGAGGAAUAUUGGUCAAUGGGCUUACGCCUGAACCAGCCAAGUCGCGUGAGGGAAGACUGCCCUAUGGGUUGUAAACCUCUUUUGUCAGGGAGCAAUUGGCGCUACGUGUAGCGUUCUCGAGAGUCCCUGCAGACAAAGCUUCGCCUACCACGUUGCCAGCAGCCGCGUUAAUACGAGGGAUGCGAGCGUUAUCGGGUUUUGUUGGGUUAAAGGGUGCGUAGGCGGAAUGCCAAGUCAGCGGUAAAAUCGCGGGGCUCAACCUCGAUCCGCCGUUGAAACUGGCGGUCUUGAGUGGGCGAGAAGUAGGCGGAAUGCGUGGUGUAGCGGUGAAAUGCAUAGAUAUCACGCAGAACUCCGAUUGCGAAGGCAGCAUACCGGCGCCCAACUGACGCUGAAGCACGAAAGCGUGGGUAUCGAACAGGAUUAGAUACCCUAGUAGUC
RNAcentral lists this ribosomal RNA (459 nucleotides) under uncultured bacterium. RNAcentral describes it as "partial 16S ribosomal RNA". It matches the Rfam family "Bacterial small subunit ribosomal RNA", at positions 338 to 795 of the family's 1533-position model. The record is from RNAcentral.